AUUGAACGCUGGCGGCAUGCCUUACACAUGCAAGUCGAACGGUAACGCGGGGCAACCUGGCGACGAGUGGCGAACGGGUGAGUAAUAUAUCGGAACGUGCCCAGUAGUGGGGGAUAGCCCGGCGAAAGCCGGAUUAAUACCGCAUACGACCUACGGGUGAAAGCGGGGGAUCGCAAGACCUCGCGCUAUUGGAGCGGCCGAUAUCAGAUUAGGUAGUUGGUGGGGUAAAGCCUACCAAGCCUACGAUCUGUAGCUGGUCUGAGAGGACGACCAGCCACACUGGGACUGAGACACGGCCCAGACUCCUACGGGAGGCAGCAGU
This 322-nucleotide ribosomal RNA is filed under the name uncultured bacterium. RNAcentral's name for it is "bacterial SSU rRNA". It matches the Rfam family "Bacterial small subunit ribosomal RNA", at positions 30 to 355 of the family's 1533-position model. The record is from RNAcentral.